This 46-nucleotide ribosomal RNA is filed under the name Mycothermus thermophilus. Its description in RNAcentral is "partial 28S ribosomal RNA". Lineage: Eukaryota; Fungi; Ascomycota; Sordariomycetes; Sordariales; Chaetomiaceae. The record is from RNAcentral.
UGACCUCGGAUCAGGUAGGAGGACCCGCUGAACUUAAGCAUAUCAC